UAGGGAAUCUUCCACAAUGGACGAAAGUCUGAUGGAGCAACGCCGCGUGAGUGAAGAAGGGUUUCGGCUACGUAAAACUCUGUUGUUAAAGAAGAACAUAUCUGAGAGUAACUGUUCAGGUAUUGACGGUAUUUAACCAGAAAGCCACGGCUAACUACGUGCCA
Molecule: ribosomal RNA, 164 nt
Filed under: uncultured bacterium
Lineage: Bacteria
Description: partial 16S rRNA
Rfam family: Bacterial small subunit ribosomal RNA
Source: RNAcentral